CCUAAUACUGACGCUGAGGUACGAAAGCAUGGGGAGCAAACAGGAUUAGAUACCCUGGUAGUCCAUGCCGUAAACGAUGUCUACUAGCCGUUGGGGCCUUUGAGGCUUUAGUGGCGCAGCUAACGCGAUAAGUAGACCGCCUGGGGAGUACGGUCGCAAGACUAAAACUCAAAUGAAUUGACGGGGGCCCGCACAAGCGGUGGAGCAUGUGGUUUAAUUCGAUGCAACGCGAAGAACCUUACCUGGUCUUGACAUAGUAAGAACUUUCCAGAGAUGGAU
RNAcentral lists this ribosomal RNA (279 nucleotides) under Acinetobacter johnsonii. RNAcentral describes it as "partial 16S ribosomal RNA". It matches the Rfam family "Bacterial small subunit ribosomal RNA", at positions 733 to 1011 of the family's 1533-position model. The record is from RNAcentral. Lineage: Bacteria; Pseudomonadati; Pseudomonadota; Gammaproteobacteria; Moraxellales; Moraxellaceae.